This 623-nucleotide ribosomal RNA is filed under the name Nidula niveotomentosa. RNAcentral's name for it is "eukaryotic LSU rRNA". The stretch from base 251 to 403 matches the Rfam family "5.8S ribosomal RNA". The record is from RNAcentral. Lineage: Eukaryota; Fungi; Basidiomycota; Agaricomycetes; Agaricales; Nidulariaceae.
GCGAUGAUCAUAUGAUGACUGUCGCGCUGAUGCUGCUCUCGGCAUGUGCUCGUGCACAUCAUGAUCUCUCACAUUGUGCACAUUGUAGACUGGAUACAUCGAGCCGAGCCAAAUCUCGGUUUGGCCUCGGUUUGAGGAUUGCUGUGUUAACGCCAGUCUUUCCUUACAUUUCCAAGUCUAUGUUUACAUACCCAUAUAAUGAAAAACCUAGAAUGUCUAUGUGGGCCUUUGUGCCUAUAAAGAAAAAUACAACUCCAGCAACGGAUCUCUUGGCUCUCGCAUCGAUGAAGAACGCAGCGAAAUGCGAUAAGUAAUGUGAAUUGCAGAAUUCAGUGAAUCAUCGAAUCUUUGAACGCACCUUGCGCCCCUUGGUAUUCCGAGGGGCAUGCCUGUUUGAGUGUCAUUAAAUUAUCAACCUCAAAAGCUUUCAUUAGCUCGAGAGGCUUGGAUGUGGGGGUUGCAGGCCUUUUGUUAGGUCUGCUCCUCUUAAAUGCAUUAGCGUGAACCUUUGUGGAACAGCUAUUGGUGUGAUAAUUAUCUACGCCUUUGGUUUGUGAAGCAGUGUUCGAGCUUCUAACGGUCCUUAAGCUGGACAAUUUAUGACAAUUGACCUCAAAUCAGGU